Molecule: ribosomal RNA, 253 nt
Filed under: uncultured bacterium
Lineage: Bacteria
Description: partial 16S ribosomal RNA
Rfam family: Bacterial small subunit ribosomal RNA
Source: RNAcentral
CGGGGUGAGUAACGCGUGAGGAACCUGCCUUUCAGAGGGGGACGAACAGUUGGAAACGACUGCUAAUACCGCAUAACACAUAGGUGUCGCAUGGCAUUUAUGUCAAAGAUUUAUCGCUGAAAGAUGGCCUCGCGUCUGAUUAGCUAGUUGGUAGGGUAACGGCCUACCAAGGCGACGAUCAGUAGCCGGACUGAGAGGUUGGCCGGCCACAUUGGGACUGAGAUACGGCCCAGACUCCUACGGAAGGCAGCAG